CCUACGGGAGGCAGCAGUGAGGAAUAUUGGUCAAUGGGCGAGAGCCUGAACCAGCCAAGUCGCGUGAGGGAGUACUGCCCUAUGGGUUGUAAACCUCUUUUGUCGGGGAGCAAAAGCCGGACGUGUCCGGCUGUGAGAGUACCCGAAGAAAAAGCAUCGGCUAACUCCGUGCCAGCACCCGCGGUAAUACGGAGGAUGCGAGCGUUAUCCGGAUUUAUUGGGUUUAAAGGGUGCGCGAGCGGGUUUUUAAGGCAGCGGUCAACUCGGGGGGUUCAACCUCAUACAGCCGUUGACACUGGGGGUCGAGAGUGUGCUAGAGGUAGGCGGAAUGCGUGGUGUAGCGGUGAAAUGCAUAGAUAUCACGCAGAACCCCGAUUGCGAAGGCAGCAUACUGGUGCACAACUGACGCUCAGGCACGAAAGCGUGGGUAUCGAACAGGAUUAGAUACCCGUGUAGUC
Molecule: ribosomal RNA, 458 nt
Filed under: uncultured bacterium
Lineage: Bacteria
Description: partial 16S ribosomal RNA
Rfam family: Bacterial small subunit ribosomal RNA
Source: RNAcentral